UACGUAGGGUGCAAGCGUUGUCCGGAAUUAUUGGGCGUAAAGAGCUCGUAGGCGGUUUGUCGCGUCGGCUGUGAAAACCCGGGGCUCAACCCCGGGCCUGCAUUCGAUACGGGCAGACUAGAGUUCGGUAGGGGAGUCUGGAAUUCCUGGUGUAGCGGUGAAAUGCGCAGAUAUCAGGAGGAACACCGGUGGCGAAGGCGGGACUCUGGGCCGAUACUGACGCUGAGGAGCGAAAGCGUGGGGAGCGAACAGG
This 253-nucleotide ribosomal RNA is filed under the name uncultured bacterium. Its description in RNAcentral is "partial 16S ribosomal RNA". It matches the Rfam family "Bacterial small subunit ribosomal RNA", at positions 524 to 776 of the family's 1533-position model. The record is from RNAcentral.